CGCGGCCUAUCAGCUUGUUGGGGGGGUAACGGCCCACCAAGGCGACGACGGGUAGCCGGCCUGAGAGGGCGACCGGCCACACUGGGACUGAGACACGGCCCAGACUCCUACGGGAGGCAGCAGUGGGGAAUAUUGCGCAAUGGGCGAAAGCCUGACGCAGCGACGCCGCGUGAGGGAUGAAGGCCUUCGGGUUGUAAACCUCUUUCAGCAGGGACGAAGCGAAAGUGACGGUACCUGCAGAAGAAGCACCGGCCAACUACGUGCCAGCAGCCGCGGUAAUACGUAGGGUGCAAGCGUUGUCCGGAAUUAUUGGGCGUAAAGAGCUCGUAGGCGGCCUGUCGCGUCGGCUGUGAAAACUCAGGGCUCAACCCUGAGCCUGCAGUCGAUACGGGCAGGCUAGAGUCCGGUAGGGGAGAAUGGAAUUCCCGGUGUAGCGGUGAAAUGCGCAGAUAUCGGGAGGAACACCGGUGGCGAAGGCGGUUCUCUGGGCCUUACCUGACGCUGAGGAGCGAAAGCGUGGGGAGCGAACAGGAUUAGAUACCCUGGUAGUCCACGCCGUAAACGUUGGGCGCUAGGCGUGGGAUCCUUCCACGGAUUCCGUGCCGCAGCUAACGCAUUAAGCGCCCCGCCUGGGGAGUACGGGCGGCCUAUCAGCUUGUUGGCGG
This 665-nucleotide ribosomal RNA is filed under the name uncultured bacterium. RNAcentral describes it as "bacterial SSU rRNA". It matches the Rfam family "Bacterial small subunit ribosomal RNA", at positions 232 to 916 of the family's 1533-position model. The record is from RNAcentral.